UUCCGUAGGUGAACCUGCGGAAGGAUCAUUGUCGAAACCUGCCUAGCAGAACGACCCGCGAACAAGUGAAAAAAUACACCGGCGGUGCGGGGGUUGCGUAAGCUCCCCGCUCGUCGCGUCGCGGGUGGUGCGGUCGGCUUCUCGUCCGCGAGCGUCGUUCCGUCCCACCCCGCGGCACAACAACGAACCCCGGCGCGGACCGCGCCAAGGAAAUUCUAACGAGAGAGCUCGCUCCCGUCGCCCCGGAKACGGUGYGCGCACGGGCAGCGACGCCUUCUUUCACAAUCAAAAACGACUCUCGGCAACGGAUAUCUAGGCUCUCGCAUCGAUGAAGAACGUAGCGAAAUGCGAUACUUGGUGUGAAUUGCAGAAUCCCGUGAACCAUCGAGUCUUUGAACGCAAGUUGCGCCCCAAGCCUUUAGGCCGAGGGCACGUCUGCCUGGGUGUCACGCAUCGUCGCCCCCCCCCAACCCCCCGCACCCCGGGGAGGAACGCGGGCGGGGCGGAGAAUGGCCUCCCGUGCGCCGCUCGGCUCGCGGUUGGCCCAAAUCCGAGUCCUCGGCUUCGCGCGCCGCGACUUUCGGUGGUCGAAACAAACCUCGAUGUCCCGUCGCGCCCGCGUCGUCGUAGCACGGACUCAAGGACCCUGACGCGUCGCCAGGCCGCGACGCUCGCUUCGCGA
Molecule: ribosomal RNA, 682 nt
Filed under: Protium heptaphyllum
Lineage: Eukaryota; Viridiplantae; Streptophyta; Magnoliopsida; Sapindales; Burseraceae
Description: eukaryotic LSU rRNA
Rfam family: 5.8S ribosomal RNA (bases 294-449)
Source: RNAcentral